GGUCUUAGGAGAGAGUGCUUUGGGGCACCUCCACCAUGGCCUGGACUCUGCUUGUCUUCACCCUCCUCAAUCAGGGCACAGGUUUGUGGGCCCAGUCUGCUCUGACUCAGCCUCCCUCAGUCUCUGGAACACCUGGAGAGACAGUCACCAUCUCUUGUGCUGGAACCAGCAGUGACAUUGGGAAUUAUAAUGCUGUCUCUUGGUACCAAAAGCAUCCAGGAACAACUCAUAAACUCAUCAUCUAUAGUGUUAGUAGUCGGCCCUCAGGGAUCCCUGCUCGCUUCUCUGGCUCCAAGACUGGCAACACAGCCUAUCUGACUAUUUCUGGACUCCAGCUGGAGGAUGAGGGUGUUUAUUACUGCAGUUCAUAUGCAGGCAGUAACAAUUACCACAGUGCGCCAAGUUCAAGGGAACAUAGAUCUGUCGUGUACCUGCUGGAGGUGCAAGGAGGAGGGUCCAGGCUUCCACCUUUAUCAUAG
This is a non-coding RNA of Sciurus carolinensis (gray squirrel), 479 nucleotides long. The record is from the annotation of a RefSeq genome assembly. Lineage: Eukaryota; Metazoa; Chordata; Mammalia; Rodentia; Sciuridae.